RNAcentral lists this ribosomal RNA (491 nucleotides) under uncultured bacterium. Its description in RNAcentral is "bacterial SSU rRNA". It matches the Rfam family "Bacterial small subunit ribosomal RNA", at positions 903 to 1397 of the family's 1533-position model. The record is from RNAcentral.
AAAGGAAUUGACGGGGGCCCGCACAAGCAGUGGAUUAUGUGGUUUAAUUCGAAGCAACGCGAAGAACCUUACCAGGGCUUGACAUCCAACUAACGAAGUAGAGAUACAUUAGGUGCCCUUCGGGGAAAGUUGAGACAGGUGGUGCAUGGUUGUCGUCAGCUCGUGUCGUGAGAUGUUGGGUUAAGUCCCGCAACGAGCGCAACCCCUAUUGUUAGUUGCUACGCAAGAGCACUCUAGCGAGACUGCCGUUGACAAAACGGAGGAAGGUGGGGACGACGUCAAAUCAUCAUGCCCCUUAUGUCCUGGGCUACACACGUAAUACAAUGGCGUCCAACAAAGGGAAGCAAAGCCGCGAGGCAGAGCAAAUCCCCAAAAGACGUCUCAGUUCGGAUUGCAGGCUGCAACUCGCCUGCAUGAAGUCGGAAUUGCUAGUAAUCGUGGAUCAGCAUGCCACGGUGAAUACGUUCCCGGGCCUUGUACACACCGCCCGU